CCAAUAUAAUUACCAUGUAAUGCAGAUAACAAAAAAAUGAGCUCCUCAUCACUUCCUUCAUACUCCGUCUGCAGGUUACGGUGCUGCCGGAAUUUAACCACAAUUUCUUCCGGCAGCACCUUAUUCCGGCAGAGCGGACACGUGGCAGAAUCUUGUUGGAGCCACGUGUCCAAACAAUCCUUGUGAAAAAUAUGCUUGCAUUUCAGCUUCCGUACUUGUUCGCCGUCUUCAAAUGCCGAUAAACAAACGGCACAGGUAUCGGAAAAACCGGCCGGGUUGAUUGAGGGGGUUUUGAACCGGCUGACCGGGUUUUUUUCGUCGAUGAGUUUGAGGUAUUGCUUGGUUGUGAUGGGGCGGCCGCGGCCGGAAUCUGAGAUUGUGUCGGUUAUGGAACGUACUAAGAUUACGAGUUCGAGUAUGAGAAUGGUGACGAAGACUAGAGUCAUGGUGUAGAUAUGAGCUAAGAGCUGAGAAAGAGCAGCCAUAAUUGUUGUUAUUGUAUAUAUGAUUAUGAUGUGUAUACAAAGAAAGAGAAGUUUCUUCUUUUUUGGUACAUUUAGG
Molecule: unclassified non-coding RNA, 561 nt
Filed under: Hevea brasiliensis (rubber tree)
Lineage: Eukaryota; Viridiplantae; Streptophyta; Magnoliopsida; Malpighiales; Euphorbiaceae
Source: RNAcentral